This 464-nucleotide ribosomal RNA is filed under the name uncultured bacterium. RNAcentral's name for it is "bacterial SSU rRNA". It matches the Rfam family "Bacterial small subunit ribosomal RNA", at positions 338 to 795 of the family's 1533-position model. The record is from RNAcentral.
CCUACGGGCUGCAGCAGUGGGGAAUAUUGCACAAUGGGCGCAGGCCUGAUGCAGCCAUGCCGCGUGUAUGAAGAAGGCCUUAGGGUUGUAAAGUACUUUCAGUUGGGAGGAAGCGUUGAUGCUAAUAUCAUCAACGAUUGACGUUACCAACAGAAGAAGCACCGGCUAACUCCGUGCCAGCAGCCGCGGUAAUACGGAGGGUGCAAGCGUUAAUCGGAAUUACUAGGCGUAAAGCGCACGCAGGCGGUUGAUUAAGUUAGAUGUGAAAUCCCCGGGCCUAACCUGGGAAUGGCAUCUAAGACUGGUCAGCUAGAGUCUUGUAGAGGGGGGUAGAAUUCCAUGUGUAGCGGUGAAAUGCGUAGAGAUGUGGAGGAAUACCGGUAGCGAAGGCGGCCCCCUGGACAAAGACUGACGCUCAGGUGCGAAAGCGUGGGGAGCAAACAGGAUUAGAUACCCGUGUAGUC